Molecule: ribosomal RNA, 568 nt
Filed under: uncultured bacterium
Lineage: Bacteria
Description: partial 16S ribosomal RNA
Rfam family: Bacterial small subunit ribosomal RNA
Source: RNAcentral
UGGGGAAUAUUGCACAAUGGGCGAAAGCCUGAUGCAGCAACGCCGCGUGAGGGACGACGGCCUUCGGGUUGUAAACCUCUUUUAGCAAGGAAGAAGCGAAAGUGACGGUACUUGCAGAAAAAGCGCCGGCUAACUACGUGCCAGCAGCCGCGGUAAUACGUAGGGCGCAAGCGUUAUCCGGAAUUAUUGGGCGUAAAGAGCUCGUAGGCGGUUUGUCGCGUCUGCUGUGAAAACCCGAGGCUCAACCUCGGGCCUGCAGUGGGUACGGGCAGACUAGAGUGCGGUAGGGGAGAUUGGAACUCCUGGUGUAGCGGUGGAAUGCGCAGAUAUCAGGAAGAACACCGAUGGCGAAGGCAGAUCUCUGGGCCGUAACUGACGCUGAGGAGCGAAAGGGUGGGGAGCAAACAGGCUUAGAUACCCUGGUAGUCCACCCCGUAAACGUUGGGAACUAGUUGUGGGGUCCAUUCCACGGAUUCCGUGACGCAGCUAACGCAUUAAGUUCCCCGCCUGGGGAGUACGGCCGCAAGGCUAAAACUUAAAGGAAUUGACGGGGUCAUAGCUGUUUCCU